RNAcentral lists this ribosomal RNA (273 nucleotides) under uncultured bacterium. Its description in RNAcentral is "partial small subunit ribosomal RNA". It matches the Rfam family "Bacterial small subunit ribosomal RNA", at positions 26 to 282 of the family's 1533-position model. The record is from RNAcentral.
AGAAUCAACGCUGGCGGCGUGCCUCAGACAUGCAAGUCGAACGCGAAAGUUUCCUUCGGGAGAUGAGUAGAGUGGCGCACGGGUGAGUAACACGUAGGUAAUCUACCUUUGGAUGGGGAAUAACAACCGGAAACGGUUGCUAAUACCGCAUAAUGCAGCGGCACCUAAUGGUGACAGUUGUUAAAGCGGGGGAUCGAAAGACCUCGCGUCUGAAGAGGAGCCUGCGGCGGAUUAGCCAGUUGGUAAGGUAAUGGCUUACCAAGGCUACGAUCC